CAGGGGGGUGUGAGCGGGUCUAGGCGGGCCGGAGACCCCCAGACAGCCGUUCUGGGGCGCCCCGAGGGGCCGGCGGCCACGCUGCGAGGGAAAGGCCCCACGUCGCGCGGUGGCUGUGUGGAGGGAAGGGCGUGAGGGGAGCGGCGAGGCGGGCGGGCUUUGUCCCGUGCGCUCCUCGGGAGCAGGGCCCAGGCAGGCACAGCCCCUGCCCUUACUCCUGCACCCCAGGGCCGCCGGGUCCUGUGCUGAGGAGCUGGGAGGCUGGCGGGGAAGGGAAAGGGUUCCCCGACCCCUGUCUCCAGCGAGCAGAGUGGGGACGCCGCUGGGGUACGGGCGUGCUCAGCAAAGUAGGGCAGCUUUUGCCACGAGCAAAGCUCUGCACCUUAAGUCACUGAAGGCUUGUGCGUAGGUAAGAGGCAAAGCCACGCUUCUGGGAUGAGAGACCACGCUGCCCUGCCCAAGUAAUAAGCUGGAAAACACAAGCACAGCUCCUUGGCCUGCUGUGUUUGCAAGUGCCUGGGAUACAAAUGAGGCGCAGCAGCCUGUACUAACAAGAUUGUCAGAAGCCAGACUGGGGAGUGAGGAGCUGUUCUGGGAACAUACUCCCAGACUGGUCACCCUGCCUGCCCCCAGCUGUGAUCAAUUCCCCAGUAACCUUCACCAGGUUAACCUGCAACAUGCCUGACAGGAAUCCAGACACCUCAGUUGGCUGAGGCAAAGAAAAUAUUUCCUCCCCAGCCUAGCACAUUUUCACUGUGACAAAUGGGUGUCCAGGUCUCUUCACACAUAGCACAAUAGCUGUGUGCCAGAGUCUUUGCCAGGUACAAAACUUCUCUGGCUUUCAUAGCUGGAAGUUAGAUUUUUAUCAAAUUAGGUGUGAUUUUAUAGCAAGGCAUGUAGUUUGAGUGGGUGCAAAUCCUCCAUUUGCUGUAAGUGUCAUUCACUGUGCAUUGUUUGCUUGCUCUUAGAAAGCAACAGGGAGCAGCCCAAGUUGGAUGCAGCUUCCAGUCUCUGAUUAUGCUCAGGCUAGUCUCUUGUCUUUGGCCCUUAAAAUUCUCAUCUAAGGAAAUACUCCAGCUCCUAUUGAUUCUGAGCUACUUCUGUGCCUGCACAAAGGUUUAGCCUCUGAUUGCAAAUGGAGCAUGCAAGAGAUUAACAACCCUAUGGAUUUAAUCUCAGGGUUUAUGAAAUGCUUCUCCUACACGUGCAAGCAAAGCAAUCAGCUGCUGGCUGGAGCGUUCAGAGGCACGGGGCUUGGUGUGAGCUGUGUGUCUCCAGGUGUCAUGGAGAUGUUAAACAGCUGUCCCGUACCUUUGCUGGCAAGCUGAGUGCUUACAGACCUUGAACUGAAUGAGCACCACAUCUUGCUACAGCUGGUCCAGCUGUGCAAGCAGCUAUUGAGCCACCAGCAGUCCAGUUAUGUCACGGUGAAUGUUGCAGACGUGUGUCACAGCAAUGGGGUCCUGUCCUCAGGACCCGCUGUUUGCUCCUGUCCCUGGUCUGCCCCCUUGCUUGGGCUGCUGCAGCGCCCCGGGUUCACCCUGUGAAUUGGACCAGUUGACUGCCACAGCAGGGGGUGACUCAAGUCUUACCUCUCACAUCUGCCAUGAGUUUUGAGAAUUACCGAAUCCUUCUGGCUGCAGCACCCAUGGUGACAACAUUGGUACUUCACAUCUUAUUUUCAGCCCUGUGGAGAGAUAUCAAUCCACUGAGCCAGCAAACUUGUUCUCAGGGAGAAGUCCUCAGAUACGACAGGGAAGAGCAGCACUGCUGCAGUGUUUGUAGCCACAGUGAGAAACUGAGAGCUCAAGGAGGAAGGACAUUAAGUACAUAGAGCGCUGAACCGCAUAAUUGUGCUUCACGCUGUGUCUUUGCAGCAGUUUUCUGGAUUAGCAGCAAGGAGGUCCUCGGAGCAGGAGCAUGCAAAGGGACUGACAAACAUUACUGACUGCUACCUACACGGGGCUUUGGCUUUUUCCUAGGCUUUAGCUUCCCUGUCCCAACCACCUCUGGGUCCUGCACAGUUGCUCCUUCAGCCAUAACUGCCCUGUGCUUUCCUGGCAUGUUCUUCGUUCCCACAGUUGAAUUAUUUUUUGUUUUUGAUAAUUCUUCCAGAUUAGCUUGGCUCUUUAAGCAAUUGCUUUUACCUUUGUGUCCUUGUUAACACUCUCCACACCCUCUUUUUCCUGUGCUCUUGUCUCAGGUCCCAUCAUGUUUACCUUCAAUUGGAAAUGGCCUGGGGCUAGGGAGUGUGUGUAAUUAUGAAAUGGAUGAUUAAAUCUCAUUAUUCUGUAGAAAUUACAGUUAAUAGUGUUCUUAAGAAGCCAGGAGAAUAUGUAUUGGAUCAUUGAUGAUAUAUGGAAAGGCAAGAAUUCUUAUAUGACAUGCUAUCUUUAAGAAAAUUAUCUUAAAGCUUGGUUGCUGUCUAAACCCUUGAUAUGUCCCUUAUAAUCUUAUGCUGCAUUUAUUCUAGGAAUAAAAGCCUGUGGCACGUUGCCUCAUUGGAUUUUUUACUACAGAACACCAUGUACUGCUAAAACUGUGAUUGAACCGGUAAAUUUUAGGUGGCAUGGAUAGAAAAAAUGAUAGGAUCAAGAGCCAUCCAUACCCACAGUCAAUUGACAUCACCAUCAGUCUAAGGCAGCCUUAUUGUUCUAAGCUACUAUUUCUUUAGUUAUCAGCAGGGCAGAUGCAGUUGUUUGAGAGAGGAGCAUUAAGCAUAAAUGUUAGCAACACACUUUGAUGUCUCACAGUGUACUGGGAAAAAAAGCUUGUCCUCACCACAGCUGGUAAGGAUUAACAGCAGCAACUUUGCUGUGAAGUACCCUGCACCCACAAGCUUCUAUAUUUCCUUGGAUUUUUUUUUUAAGAGCUAAAUAUUUGGAGGAAUCAAUUGGCACUUCAGCAUAUGAUUAAACCCGUUUGUUGUGACACAAGGCCUACUUGCUUUCAACAGAGUAGGUGUGGAGGCAUCUCUGUUCCAAAGAAGCUGUUGCUCACUGCUCAGGUCCUCCCACUUCCAUGCUGCUUUGCUGAGUCCCCAUCUUUUCACCUGCAUUUCCUCAGCGAUGAUAGGUCUUCUGAUGCAACUGCAGCUUCCCUGUCUGAGUGCACAAUGCCGGGAUUUGUCCUCUUUGACUUUUGUUUUCCCGCGUUACCAAACUUUGGAUGACCCUGAAGCUUCAUCUUUCCUGGCAGCUAGGGCUGACCAGUCUUGGGGAGACAGAAACUGGUUGGUCUUCGUGUAUCUAAGUGGAUAUUGUAACAAAGGCAAGGUAGUGGAAGAGUGGGGUUUAGCUAGAGUAAUGGUGUAAUACAAAAAACUUUGGCAAAAAAAGAAUGUUAACAACAAAAGGGCUUUAGGGACAUGUGCAAGGUACUCAGUUACAAAGGGAAAUAGAUGUGAGCCCACCACCAGCUGUCACAUUUUGUAGAUCUAAUUAUUGCUCAAGUUAGUGGGCCCCAAUUUGCACAAAAAAAAAAAAAAAAAA
Anas platyrhynchos (mallard) is the source of this 3491-nucleotide long non-coding RNA. RefSeq lists it as uncharacterized. Lineage: Eukaryota; Metazoa; Chordata; Aves; Anseriformes; Anatidae. The record is from RefSeq and is a predicted model, not a curated record.